GCUAGUGUUAAUUUUUUUGCAUUAUAUAUUAUAUAUUAUUACCUACUGUAUAAAAGGUAAAAUUAAUAAUACAAAAAUAACAUUCUUUGAUAAAGUUUGCAAGCAUAUUUUUCAGAGAUAUUAUUAAUCUCAUCCUCUACCUGUAAUCCUUUCUCUUUAUCAGGUUUAUGCUCUAGCGUAUAUUAUAAUAAAUUAAAAUAGAAUGAUUGUAUAAAAGAAACUUUAGUUAUUAAUGUUUACAGUAAGUUAAAAUAAUACAGUGUCUCUAAAACAAGCUACUAGAAGUAGUAUAGAAUUAGCAAGUUUUACUUUAUGUGGUUCACAUAGAGGAAGAGGGUGGAUGAGAUAGUGGCCGUAGUCACGCAACAAAGCAGAAUAAUGCAAUAGUCAUGAUUUACUUUCCGUAGCAGAUCACCUAUUGCCUCUCGUGACUGAUUUCAUCAGCUGUGAGUGGCUUUUAAUUUGCAUGCAAAAUCCCGUCCACCUUCACCCAAGAGACUAGAGGCCUAUGCACCUAGCUAUUCUCUUAAGGCUGCAAAUUUU
RNAcentral lists this long non-coding RNA (543 nucleotides) under Nicotiana benthamiana. RNAcentral describes it as "long non-coding RNA (NBEN_LNC009246)". The record is from RNAcentral. Lineage: Eukaryota; Viridiplantae; Streptophyta; Magnoliopsida; Solanales; Solanaceae.